GACGAACGCUGGCGGCGUGCCUAAUACAUGCAAGUCGAACGCAUUUUCUUUCACCGUAGCUUGCUACACCGAAAGAAAAUGAGUGGCGAACGGGUGAGUAACACGUGGGUAACCUGCCCAUCAGCGGGGGAUAACACUUGGAAACAGGUGCUAAUACCGCAUAAUUCCAUUUACUGCAUGGUAGAUGGAUGAAAGGCGCUUUUGCGUCACUGAUGGAUGGACCCGCGGUGCAUUAGCUAGUUGGUGGGGUAACGGCCUACCAAGGCUGCGAUGCAUAGCCGACCUGAGAGGGUGAUCGGCCACACUGGGACUGAGACACGGCCCAGACUCCUACGGGAGGCAGCAGUAGGGAAUCUUCGGCGAUGGACGCAAGUCUGACCGAGCAACGCCGCGUGAGUGAAGAAGGUUUUCGGAUCGUAAAACUCUGUUGUUAGAAAAGAACAAGGAUGAGAGUGGAAAGUUCAUCCCUUGACGGUAACUAACCAGAAAGCCACGGCUAACUACGUG
RNAcentral lists this ribosomal RNA (507 nucleotides) under uncultured bacterium. RNAcentral describes it as "partial 16S ribosomal RNA". It matches the Rfam family "Bacterial small subunit ribosomal RNA", at positions 28 to 507 of the family's 1533-position model. The record is from RNAcentral.